GUGGGGAAUUUUGGACAAUGGGGGCAACCCUGAUCCAGCCAUGCCGCGUGCGGGAAGAAGGCCUUCGGGUUGUAAACCGCUUUUGUCAGGGAAGAAAUCCUUUGGGUUAAUACCUCGGAGGGAUGACGGUACCUGAAGAAUAAGCACCGGCUAACUACGUGCCAGCAGCCGCGGUAAUACGUAGGGCGCGAGCGUUAAUCGGAAUUACUGGGCGUAAAGCGUGCGCAGGCGGUUUUGUAAGAUCGAUGUGAAAUCCCCGGGCUCAACCUGGGAACUGCAUUGGUGACUGCAAGGCUGGAGUGCGGCAGAGGGGGAUGGAAUUCCGCGUGUAGCAGUGAAAUGCGUAGAUAUGCGGAGGAACACCGAUGGCGAAGGCAAUCCCCUGGGCCUGCACUGACGCUCAUGCACGAAAGCGUGGGGAGCAAACAGGAUUAGAUACCCCGGUAGUCC
Molecule: ribosomal RNA, 450 nt
Filed under: uncultured bacterium
Lineage: Bacteria
Description: partial 16S ribosomal RNA
Rfam family: Bacterial small subunit ribosomal RNA
Source: RNAcentral